This 396-nucleotide ribosomal RNA is filed under the name uncultured Pseudomonas sp. Its description in RNAcentral is "bacterial SSU rRNA". It matches the Rfam family "Bacterial small subunit ribosomal RNA", at positions 986 to 1382 of the family's 1533-position model. Lineage: Bacteria; Pseudomonadati; Pseudomonadota; Gammaproteobacteria; Pseudomonadales; Pseudomonadaceae. The record is from RNAcentral.
CGUAAGAUGACGUGUAGGUGAAAGCUUACAUCUCUUCGGAGCAUUUUACGAGGUGCUGCAUGGUUGUCGUCAGCUCGUGUCGUGAGAUCGUGGGUUAAGUCCGUAACGAGCGCAACCCUUGUCCUUAGUUACCAGCACGUUAUGGUGGGCACUCUAAGGAGACUGCCGGUGACAAACCGGAGGAAGGUGGGGAUGACGUCAAGUCAUCAUGGCCCUUACGGCCUGGGCUACACACGUGCUACAAUGGUCGGUACAAAGGGUUGCCAAGCCGCGAGGUGGAGCUAAUCCCAUAAAACCGAUCGUAGUCCGGAUCGCAGUCUGCAACUCGACUGCGUGAAGUCGGAAUCGCUAGUAAUCGUGAAUCAGAAUGUCACGGUGAAUACGUUCCCGGGCCUU